This 253-nucleotide ribosomal RNA is filed under the name uncultured bacterium. RNAcentral's name for it is "partial 16S ribosomal RNA". It matches the Rfam family "Bacterial small subunit ribosomal RNA", at positions 524 to 776 of the family's 1533-position model. The record is from RNAcentral.
UACGUAGGGGGCAAGCGUUGUCCGGAUUUAUUGGGCGUAAAGAGCUCGUAGGCGGCCAACUAAGUCGGAUGUGAAAUCCCCAGGCUUAACCUGGGAACUGCAUCCGAUACUGGAUGGCUUGAAUCCGGGAGAGGGAUGCAGAAUUCCAGGUGUAGCGGUGAAAUGCGUAGAUAUCUGGAGGAAUACCGGUGGCGAAGGCGGCAUCCUGGACCGGCAUUGACGCUGAUGAGCGAAAGCUAGGGGAGCAAACGGG